GAUGAACGCUGGCGGCAUGCCUAAUACAUGCAAGUCGAGCGAUCAGAGGUUAAGCUUGCGACUGUCGCAUGGGCGACUGAUAGGUGAGUAACAGGUGGAUAACCUGGGUAAGAGCCGGGGAAAACUUCUUGAUACCGCAUCUGAACCCAGAGAGUAUGUGGAACAUCGUAGGACCUUAGUGAAUUACGGUUUUGCUUGCACGUAUAGAUAGAUCCGCGCCUCAUUAGCUAGUUGGUAGGGUAACGGCUUACCAAGGCGACGAUGCGUAGCCGACCUGAGAGGGCGAUCGGCCACACUGGAACUGAGACACGGCCCAGACUCCUACGGGAGGCAGCAGUAGGGAAUCUUGCGCAAUGGGCGAAAGCCUGACGGAGCAACGCCGCGUGAGUGAUGAAGGCCUUCGGAUCGUAAACCUCUGUUAUUAGGGAAGAAAACCUGUGUAAGUAAAUAUGCACGUCAUGACGGUACCUAAUCAGAAAGCACCGGCUAACUACGUG
This 497-nucleotide ribosomal RNA is filed under the name uncultured bacterium. RNAcentral's name for it is "partial 16S ribosomal RNA". It matches the Rfam family "Bacterial small subunit ribosomal RNA", at positions 28 to 507 of the family's 1533-position model. The record is from RNAcentral.